GAUGAACGCUGGCGGCGUGCUUAACACAUGCAAGUCGAACGCACAGGUUUCUGACUUCAGUCUUACACGUGUGGGGCAGGGGUGUGUAUAACACGGGGGUACCGUCCCUCUCUUCGGGGGAAGACUUGGAGAAACGGUCUCAUACACGGUAGGAACUCUUUAAGGGCGAUGUUGUGGAAUGUGUGACGGUUUGGGAUUGGCUUGCGGCCUAUUCGCUUGCUCGUGGGGUAGUGGCAUACGAAAGCGUUGACGGCUAGCCGGCCUGGGAGGGUGUACGGGGACAUUGGGACUGAGAUACGGCGCAGACGCCUACGGGAGGCAGCAGUGGGGAGUAUUGCACAAUGGGCGCGAGCCUGAUGCGGCGACGCCGCGUGGGGGAUGACGGCCUUCGGGUUGUGAACUCCUUUCGCUAGAGACGAAGCGCAAGUGACGGUACCUGGAGAAGAAGCACCGGCUAACUACGUG
RNAcentral lists this ribosomal RNA (465 nucleotides) under uncultured bacterium. RNAcentral's name for it is "partial 16S ribosomal RNA". It matches the Rfam family "Bacterial small subunit ribosomal RNA", at positions 28 to 507 of the family's 1533-position model. The record is from RNAcentral.